UACGAAGGGUGCAAGCGUUACUCGGAAUUACUGGGCGUAAAGCGUGCAUAGGCGGUUUGUUAAGUCCGUUGUGAAAGCCCUGGGCUCAACCUGGGAAUUGCAGUGGAUACUGGCGAGCUAGAGUGCGGUAGAGGAUGGUGGAAUUCCCGGUGUAGCGGUGAAAUGCGUAGAGAUCGGGAGGAACACCCGUGGCGAAGGCGGCCAUCUGGACCAGCACUGACGCUGAGGCACGAAAGCGUGGGGAGCAAACAGG
This 253-nucleotide ribosomal RNA is filed under the name uncultured bacterium. RNAcentral describes it as "partial 16S ribosomal RNA". It matches the Rfam family "Bacterial small subunit ribosomal RNA", at positions 524 to 776 of the family's 1533-position model. The record is from RNAcentral.